RNAcentral lists this ribosomal RNA (206 nucleotides) under uncultured bacterium. RNAcentral's name for it is "partial 16S ribosomal RNA". It matches the Rfam family "Bacterial small subunit ribosomal RNA", at positions 568 to 773 of the family's 1533-position model. The record is from RNAcentral.
CGCGUAGGCGGGCCGGCCAGUCGGAGGUGAAAGCCCCCAGCUCAACUGGGGAAGUGCCCCCGAUACUGCCGGCCUUGAGGGAGGUAGGGGCGUGCGGAACUUCCGGUGGAGCGGUGAAAUGCGUAGAUAUCGGAAGGAACACCGGUGGCGAAGGCGGCACGCUGGGCCUCACCUGACGCUGAGGCGCGAAAGCCAGGGGAGCGAAG